Molecule: small RNA, 107 nt
Filed under: Salmonella enterica
Lineage: Bacteria; Pseudomonadati; Pseudomonadota; Gammaproteobacteria; Enterobacterales; Enterobacteriaceae
Also listed under: 1 other name
Description: RtT sRNA
Rfam family: RtT RNA
About the family: This family represents a bacterial cis-regulatory element known as RtT RNA. The exact function of RtT is unknown although it is thought that it may be involved in changing the cellular response in relation to amino acid starvation.
Source: RNAcentral
UGACGAGGAUGAGAACCUCCGGGGGCAAGAGGUUCGACCCGAGCGAAGCGAGAGAACGUUGCGCCAGCAACGGCCCGCAGUGGCAAGUCAUCCUCUGUCACCGGCAG